CUGCUUGCUCAUGGCCGCCUAGAGGGGAAACCCCCUUGGCGGUACGGCAACACCCACCCUUGACUACAUAUACCUUUCGUUAUUUCCCUCGGCGGGGCAACCCGCCGCUGGGGACAUCAAAACCCUCUUGUAUCAAGCAUCAAAACUUCUGAAACAAACCUAAAAUAUCA
RNAcentral lists this unclassified non-coding RNA (170 nucleotides) under uncultured Ascomycota. RNAcentral describes it as "sequence contains ITS1". The record is from RNAcentral. Lineage: Eukaryota; Fungi; Ascomycota.